Molecule: ribosomal RNA, 460 nt
Filed under: uncultured bacterium
Lineage: Bacteria
Description: partial 16S ribosomal RNA
Rfam family: Bacterial small subunit ribosomal RNA
Source: RNAcentral
CCUACGGGUGGCAGCAGUGAGGAAUAUUGGUCAAUGGACGAGAGUCUGAACCAGCCAAGUAGCGUGAAGGAUGACUGCCCUAUGGGUUGUAAACUUCUUUUAUAUGGGAAUAAAAUGUUCAACGUGUGGGAUUUUGUAUGUACCAUAUGAAUAAGGAUCGGCUAACUCCGUGCCAGCAGCCGCGGUAAUACGGAGGAUCCGAGCGUUAUCCGGAUUUAUUGGGUUUAAAGGGAGCGUAGGUGGAUUGUUAAGUCAGUUGUGAAAGUUUGCGGCGCAACCGUAAAAUUGCAGUUGAAACUGGCAGUCUUGAGUACAGUAGAGGUGGGCGGAAUUCGUGGUGUAGCGGUGAAAUGCUUAGAUAUCACGAAGAACUCCGAUUGCGAAGGCAGUUCACUGGACUGCAACUGACACUGAGGCUCGAAAGUGUGGGUAUCAAACAGGAUUAGAUACCCCAGUAGUC